RNAcentral lists this ribosomal RNA (597 nucleotides) under Planctomycetota bacterium. RNAcentral describes it as "partial 23S ribosomal RNA". It matches the Rfam family "Bacterial large subunit ribosomal RNA", at positions 1 to 652 of the family's 2925-position model. Lineage: Bacteria; Pseudomonadati; Planctomycetota. The record is from RNAcentral.
GGUCAAGCGCCCAAGGGCGCGGGGGGGAUGCCUAGGCGUCAUCAGUGAUUCGGGCGUGGUAGGCUGCGAAAUGUCCGGGGGAGCUGCCCAACGAGCGUCGAUCCCGGAAUGCCCGAGAGAACGGAGGGAACUGAAACAUCUCAGUACCUCCCGGAAAGGAAAUCAACCGAGACUCCCGUAGUAGCGGCGAGCGAACCGGGACCAGCCCAAACCGAGCGGUUUUUCCGUUCGGGGUCGUGGGACCGACGAUCUGGAAUCGACGACGACGAGCCGAAGUCUCUUGGAACGGAGCGCCGCAGCGGGUGAGAGCCCCGUAGGCGAAGUCGAAGUCGUCCUAGUCGGCACCCAAGUAGGGUCGGGCACGUGAAACCCGGCCUGAAUUCGCGGGGACCCUCCCGCAAGGCUAAGUACUCGAUGACGACCGAUAGCGAACCCAGUAGGGCGACCGAACGGUGGGAAGAACCCCGACCAGGGGAGGAGACUGAACCUGAAACCCCGUGCCUACGAGCGGUGGGAGGGCGUCUGGCUUCGGCCGGCCUGACCGCGUGCCUUUUGCAUAAUGAUCCGGCGAGUUACUGUGCCCGGCCUGGUUAAUCC